Molecule: ribosomal RNA, 433 nt
Filed under: uncultured bacterium
Lineage: Bacteria
Description: partial 16S ribosomal RNA
Rfam family: Bacterial small subunit ribosomal RNA
Source: RNAcentral
AACGAACGCUGGCGGCAUGCCUAACACAUGCAGGUCGAACGAGACCUUCGGGUCUAGUGGCGCACGGGUGCGUAACGCGUGGGAACCUGCCCUUAGGUUCGGAAUAACUCCCCGAAAGGGGUGCUAAUACCGGAUAAUGUCUUCGGACCAAAGAUUUAUCGCCUUUGGAUGGGCCCGCGUUGGAUUAGCUAGUUGGUAGGGUAAAAGCCUACCAAGGCGACGAUCCAUAGCUGGUCUGAGAGGAUGAUCAGCCACACUGGGACUGAGACACGGCCCAGACUCCUACGGGAGGCAGCAGUGGGGAAUAUUGGACAGUGGGCGAAAGCCUGAUCCAGCAAUGCCGCGUGAGUGAUGAAGGCCUUAGGGUUGUAAAGCUCUUUUACCCGGGAUGAUAAUGACAGUACCGGGAGAAUAAGCUCCGGCUAACUCCGUG